UACGUAGGAUGCAAGCGUUGUCCGGAAUUAUUGGGCGUAAAGAGCGCGCAGGCGGUUUUUCAAGUCAGAUGUGAAAUAUCCGGGCUUAACCCGGAGGGGUCAUUUGAAACUGAGAGACUAGAGUACAGCAGAGGAUAGCGGAAUUCCCGGUGUAGUGGUGAAAUGCGUAGAUAUCGGGAGGAACACCAGUGGCGAAGGCGGCUAUCUGGGCUGAAACUGACGCUGAGGCGCGAAGGCUAGGGGAGCAAACAGG
This 253-nucleotide ribosomal RNA is filed under the name uncultured bacterium. Its description in RNAcentral is "partial 16S ribosomal RNA". It matches the Rfam family "Bacterial small subunit ribosomal RNA", at positions 524 to 776 of the family's 1533-position model. The record is from RNAcentral.